GGAACAGGCAGUCUGUCAGAAACAGUCAGCUAUGGAUCACCAAAGAGAUGGGAGUGAAUGAGGCUUCUGCUGAGCAUCUGGCAGAUUAGAUCCUAUCCCUGGUUGUGCAAGAAAAGGAACUUAUAUAGCAAAGCUGGCCUGGCUUUGGGAUGUUGUUCAGGAAGCAAAUACAGCAGUUUGAGUCAGGACAGAGCAGGAAUUACAGCCAUGGGUGGUGCAAGUUCAGUAAAGGACCAGUGAAAGCUGCUGACUUGGGAAGGGCCAGCUCUAAAGGCACACGAAGGUGGAAAUUUCAAAGGGCCUUGUGAGGUUUACAUUCACAGAGCCAGUCAGUGAAGUGGGAACUGGGCAUGUGAGUCCCAGAAAAUGCCAG
Molecule: long non-coding RNA, 373 nt
Organism: Neopelma chrysocephalum (saffron-crested tyrant-manakin)
Lineage: Eukaryota; Metazoa; Chordata; Aves; Passeriformes; Pipridae
Exons: 4
Source: RefSeq, a predicted model, not a curated record